Molecule: long non-coding RNA, 3440 nt
Organism: Coccinella septempunctata (seven-spotted ladybird)
Lineage: Eukaryota; Metazoa; Arthropoda; Insecta; Coleoptera; Coccinellidae
Exons: 8
Source: RefSeq, a predicted model, not a curated record
UAUACUAAAAUAAUUUCGGGUUAUGUAGACUAAAAUGAAGGAACAGUUUACUCGGCCGUGUUGGGUGCUAGAGAUUUGGGGUUUUCGCGAGAAGAAAGUAGAGAUUCCGAAUUAGUUCCGAAUGGAGCCGCUUUUUUCGAUUUCGAUCUCGGAUAUUUUUAAAUUAAUUCGCGAAAAUGACGAAUUUUCGUAAAAAUUUUUGCCCUCUAAGAUGGUAAGUAACGGGUGCACAGACGUUUCGGAAAAUAUGGGUCCGGAAAAAUGCCUAUUCUCAAUGGAUAAAGUUGGUUAGGAUUAAUUGAUGGCCCUGUAACCCUUCUCCGAGAACGAUAUAAUCGUUUGAAACAUACGUUACUUUCUAUUUCCUAACGGAAAUGUUUGAAAAAAGCGUAAGAAAAUGAUCAAUUUUUGACGUCUAUCAUCGAACAUUUCAAUCGCUGACAGUUGUCGUGAAAUGGAACAUUCCAUUUCGCGAAAAAGGGGCGGUCGCCCAAAGUUCGUUUGUCGUAAUUAUUAUGAGAAAUAUUUUUAAUUUCUGAUAUAAUUUAGAACGAAUUCAAUUGAUUUUUGAAUGGAAAAUCGAUUAUUAAUACGUUUUCAAAUUGAAAAUUUGCAUAUUUCACACCAAUCUUGAAAGUAUUUCAUAAUCAUCAUUUCGUCACUGAGGAAGUUCGAUGAAAUUUCAUAUGACAUUUCGAGAAAUCACUCUACAGUUGUCUACAGUGAUUCAGUUUUCAAACGAUUCCGUGCAGUUAUUGAAUGAAAUAUCGAUAAUUAAUUCGUUUUCUAAUCAAAAUAAAGCAUAUUUUACAAAGGAGAACACUAUAUCCACACAUAUAGCGAUUUGAACGUAUACGAAAAAUAAGGAAAUGCUGAAUUUGCUGGCAACUGAGAAGCUUAUAAUAUCCGAUUCAGAAGUUUAUGAAAUAUAUUGUAGGUUCUAGGUGUCAACACCGAAGGCCCGACGAAAAAGUUGUUAUUUUUUGGCCCAACAUUCAAUAUAGGUGAAGGACAUCACAUUAUUUACGUAUUAAGCAUAUAUUCUUAAUGAAUUUAUCAUUUCAUAGUAGGAUUAUGAAUCCGGGAAUAUUAUGGAUCAUUCAUGGUUAUAGUUCUUUGCCUAUGAUGGAUAAUGAUUGAUAGAGGUUAUGUCAAAUUGGAGAAACUUGAUGUAUUUCACAAGUCAUUGUUUAUAAGAAAAACUCUACAAUCCAUCAAAUAAUGCCUUCGUGAAUGGAGAUGUGAGAAGUGCAUUCCAGAUUCCAACAGUACAUCUGCAGAAUGAAGUCAUUUCAAAAUGAAAUAAAUAUUCCCAAGAAAGGAUCUAGAAGUAUUGGUUAGUACCUUUAGAAUUUGAGUAAGAAUUGCCAUUCAAAUCAUAGUGUAUUGAAAUAUUUGAUAUUUUCUAUCAAGUUUCAAGAAACCUGGCGUUCACAAAUAUUGAAAAUAACUAAUAACAAUUUAUAUAUGUUAUAUGAACAUGUAUUUCACUAUGAAUUGAUCCUGAUACAUCAAAUAAUGCCUUCGUGUAUGGAGAUGUGAGAAGUGCAUUCCAACAGUACAUCAGCAGAAUGAAGUCAUUUCAAAAUGAAAUAAAUAUUCCCAAAAAAGGAUUUAGAAGUAUUGGUUAGUACCGUUAGAAUUUGAGUAAGAAUUACCAUUCAAAUCAUAGUGUAUUGUAACAUUUGAUUUUCCAAUCAAGUUUAAUUGGAUAUGGCGUUCACAAAUAUUGAAAAUGACUACUAAAAACUCAUAUAUGUUAUAUGAUUAUGUAUUUCACUAUGAAUUGAUCCAUUCUGAUGUUUCGAGACUUCUCCUUGAAAAGAACGACAUAGGUGUUUGUUGGUUGCCUGACGAUCAGUUGAAUUUACCAGAAAGACCAUUGAAAGAAAAUUCCAUUCAAGAAGGCAGUCCCAUAGCUCACAAAUGUAUAGAACAAUUCAAGGGAGAAUCAGCGAAGGUCAUGACAAAUUUUACUUUUCCGUAGAGAGUAAAUAAGCAGGGUUUGAAAAAAAAAAUCAUUUCAGAAUACUUAACUGUGUGUAAAUAUGGAUGUGGAAUGAAGAAAGAGAUUUCAAUGGAAUUUCCUGGAUAUCGAAUGAUAAGAAGUGGUAUAUUGGUUGACGAUCAGUUGAAUUUACCAGAAUGAUCAUUGAAAGAAAAUUCCAUUCAAGAAGGCAGUCCCAGAGCUCACAAAUGUGUAGAACAAUUCAAGGGAGAAUCAGCGAAGGUCAUGACAAAUUUCACUUUUCCGUAGAGAGUAAAUAAGCAGGGUUUGAAAAAAAAAAUCAUUUCAGAAUACUUAACUGUAUGUAAAUAAGGAUGUGGAAUGAAGAAAGAGAUUUCAAUGGAAUUUCCUGGAUAUAGAAUGAUAAGAAGUGGUAUUUCUAUGCUGUCACUUUCGAAAAAUUAUUCUAGAGAGAAUUAUAAUUUGAAGUAUUUCACAGCUUGCAAUUAUAGGAAUAUGGCAUUACAUAGAUUUAUCCUACAGAUCUAGAAGUAUUGGUUAGUACCGUUAGAAUUUGAGUAAGAAUUGCUAUUCAAAUCAUAGGAUGGAUCGAAACAUUUGAUUUCCCAAUCAAAUUUUACGGAAUAUGGUGUUCACAAAUAUUGAAAAUAACUACUAAAAACUUAUCGUUAUUAUAUGAACAUGUAUUUUAAAAUGAAUUGAUCCUUUGAGACUUCUCCUCAAAAGAACAAGUGAUUGUUGAUCACUUCACGAUGAAUUGAAUUUAUCAGAACGACCCUUGGAAGAGAAUUCAAUUUGAGAGAGCAACCUCGGAGCACGCAGAACAAUUCAAGGUUAGAUGAGCGAAGGUUAUGUCAAAUUUUACGUUUCCAUAGAGAGUAAAUAAGCAGGACUUAAAAAAGCAAAUCAUUUGAAACUAUUUAAGUGGAUGAAAAUUGUCAUGUGGUCUGUAGAAACAGAUUCCAGUGGAUUUUGCCAGAUAUCGAAUAAUGGGAAUUGAUUCUUCUACGCUUCCACUUUUGAGAAGUUAUACUAGGAUGGAAAAAAAAAUCAUUUGAAGUAUCCUGUGAAAAUGUUUAGAUCUUGCAAGUUAAGAAAUAUAUGAUUACAUAAGUUUAUUCUACUAUAUGAAAGAUAUUUUUUAGGGUUUAUUUCCAAACAUAUGUAACAUCUUUAAUAACAGAGGUUUAUGCUACUGUAAUAAUAAGAUUCACAUUUCAAGAAAAAUGUAUGAUACUGUUAUAUUCUUCAAACAAUAAAUAUUCUUACAUUGCUACCUUAUUGCUAUGAUUGAUAGACAGUGAACAUUAUUUGAAUCUAUCAUGAAAAAUUAAAUGUUAAUUUUCUGCAUUACAUGAAAUAUGAAAAGCCCUCUCCUUAUGUUUAUGUCAUAACAAUUUUUCAAUGGUUUAUUCAACAAUAUAUUUACUUGAAUGGAAAACUAAGUCUAGCUAGGUAUAACGAUAUUGAU